This 444-nucleotide long non-coding RNA is filed under the name Homo sapiens (human). RNAcentral's name for it is "non-protein coding lnc-GRHL2-19:2". Lineage: Eukaryota; Metazoa; Chordata; Mammalia; Primates; Hominidae. The record is from RNAcentral.
CUGGAGCCCCAGCCGCGCCUCCCUGGCUGCAGCUGCUGUAUUCACAGCAGCCGCUUCAGGCGGGCCGCCACGGCGAUCAGUUUUUCAUGGCCUCCAGGUUCUGAUGAAGCGUGGGAUUUUCUGCCCUGUACCCCUCAGAACAAGAAACCACCUUACUGCAGUCUGUAAGUGGCUCCUCAGUAACAGGGCACCCACAACUUUCAUGGCAUCCGCCCGUUACUUUUGUGUCUUCCCUUCUGUGUGUGGGACCAGGAACCUGUGGAGCUGGCUCUCAGCUUACUGCUCUUUCUGCUAUGUAAGCGAUCAACUGUCUGACUCUAAAAGUGACUCGUAUUUUUCCUUUUGAAUCAGACAGACCCUGAUCUGGGUUUUGCUUUGUGUUUUAUGUGUGAGCUUUAUACUCUGAAGUCGCUUUAUAUUUUAUUUUUUCAUUUAUUAACAAAU